CCCUAAAAGACUAGUCCAAUAGGGAAAGGGUGGCUCUCCUCCUUCCAAGCUAAGUAAGGUGGGAUAGGAAGGGCCCAAUCUCCCUAAAAGACUAGUCCAAUAGGGGAAUG
RNAcentral lists this unclassified non-coding RNA (110 nucleotides) under Oryza sativa (Asian cultivated rice). RNAcentral describes it as "partial microRNA MIR430 precursor". Lineage: Eukaryota; Viridiplantae; Streptophyta; Magnoliopsida; Poales; Poaceae. The record is from RNAcentral.